RNAcentral lists this ribosomal RNA (253 nucleotides) under uncultured bacterium. RNAcentral's name for it is "partial 16S ribosomal RNA". It matches the Rfam family "Bacterial small subunit ribosomal RNA", at positions 524 to 776 of the family's 1533-position model. The record is from RNAcentral.
UACGAGUGGUGCAAGCGUUAUUCGGAUUUAUUGGGCGUACAGGGUGCGCAGGCGGCGUAUUAAGUCAAUUGUCAAAAACCUUGGCCUAACUGAGGAUCGGCAGUAGAUACUGGUAUGCUAGAGGGUGGAAGAGAGAAGUGGAAUUCUUGGAGUAGCGGUAAAAUGCGUAGAUCUCAAGAGGAACACCGAUGGCGAAGGCAGCUUCUUGGUCCACAUCUGACGCUCAUGCACGAAAGCGUGGGGAGCAAACAGG